AGACGUUGGGGGAAGCGCCACGCCGACUGAGUCAGCUGCUGGGGGCAUGCCCUUAAUUUCGCUCUGGGCGCGGGGAGGCCAGCCACAGCUGUUGAUUCUCGGACUCUGCGCCCACGGCCUCACCGCGCCCAGUGCCUUGGUUCCGGAUUCUUCCAUAACCGGCUGCCAGUACCGCCUCUCUGACGCCGGGAGUUGCUCCCUAAGAUCUGCUGCCGCCUUUCGCUGGACUUUCCCCCUGGGUGGAGCGGCCGAGGGGGUUUCGAAGCCUGCGUAUCCCUGACUCUUCACCCAGCGCCUCCGUGUCCCUCUACGGGCUCUAAGCGUUCCCCCGCCCCGCUUUUAAGCCGUCCGGUUGCCCUUUGGACCAGCAUCGCUCCGGUCUGUGUGGUAUAAUUCAGUAGUGUUUCCUCAGCACCACAGUCUCUGGCGAUUUCCCUAAUUUAUCUCGAUACAGAUCACUUGGAUUCAGUCGAGUUUGCUUUGCUCCGUGGGAACUGCACCAGAGCUGGAGGUUAGCAUCUUGCAAG
This 527-nucleotide long non-coding RNA is filed under the name Homo sapiens (human). RNAcentral describes it as "non-protein coding lnc-ZNF821-2:3". Lineage: Eukaryota; Metazoa; Chordata; Mammalia; Primates; Hominidae. The record is from RNAcentral.